GGAGAGGUGCCGGAGUGGUCGAACGGGCUUGACUCGAAAUCAAGUGUACGGUUUACCGUACCGUGGGUUCGAAUCCCACCCUCUCCGCCA
This 90-nucleotide transfer RNA is filed under the name Gammaproteobacteria bacterium. RNAcentral describes it as "tRNA-Ser". It matches the Rfam family "tRNA". From Rfam's summary of the family: Transfer RNA (tRNA) molecules are approximately 80 nucleotides in length. Their secondary structure includes four short double-helical elements and three loops (D, anti-codon, and T loops). Further hydrogen bonds mediate the characteristic L-shaped molecular structure. tRNAs have two regions of fundamental functional importance: the anti-codon, which is responsible for specific mRNA codon recognition, and the 3' end, to which the tRNAs corresponding amino acid is attached (by aminoacyl-tRNA synthetases). tRNAs cope with the degeneracy of the genetic code in two manners: having more than one tRNA (with a specific anti-codon) for a particular amino acid; and 'wobble' base-pairing, i.e. permitting non-standard base-pairing at the 3rd anti-codon position. The record is from RNAcentral. Lineage: Bacteria; Pseudomonadati; Pseudomonadota; Gammaproteobacteria. RNAcentral also lists the same sequence under 1 other name.